This 370-nucleotide ribosomal RNA is filed under the name uncultured organism. RNAcentral's name for it is "bacterial SSU rRNA". It matches the Rfam family "Bacterial small subunit ribosomal RNA", at positions 526 to 896 of the family's 1533-position model. The record is from RNAcentral.
CGUAGGUGGCAAGCGUUGUCCGGAUUUAUUGGGUUUAAAGGGUGCGUAGGCGGCUAUCUAAGUCAGUGGUGAAAUAUCUCAGCUUAACUGAGAGGGUGCCAUUGAUACUGGAUAGCUUGAGUACAGAUGAGGUAGGCGGAAUUGACGGUGUAGCGGUGAAAUGCAUAGAUAUCGUCAAGAACACCGAUAGCGAAGGCAGCUUACCAAGCUGUAACUGACGCUGAGGCACGAAAGUGGUGGGGAUCAAACAGGAUUAGAUACCCUGGUAGUCCACACUGUAAACGUUGAUGACUCGAUGUUGGCGAUACACAGCCAGCGUCCAAGAGCAAUUCGUUAAGUCAUCCACCUGGGGAGUACGCCGGCAACGGUG